GAAACCACUGGGCAUAUUCGCGCGGCAGCUGAGUGAGUUCAGUACCACCCCAGAUGACAGCCGUAUCAGCAUAGACGUCAGGCCAGCAGACAGCGUGGUGAAGUGUCAUAUGGAGCAUAAACCGAGAAAAACCGACAAGAACUAUAGACCUGCUUUGCAUGUGAAGUUAACACUAAGUGAAUUGCAUUAAUUUAUUGAUAUAACUACUGAGUGAAUUUAUUAUAAUAACUAUUCGUAAGCAGCCGUGAAAGUCAGAAAUCAAACUGAAUUGUAAAACCUAGCUAAAACUAUUAGUACGGUUCUAAGUAGUACGGCAGUUAGUUUACUCUUAAUCAGUAGUCCACGCAAAUACCAGUUACAUGCAAGACAGUACAUGCAAACACAAUAGAAAUCAGUUCGGACAAGACACAACAAAGAAGAAAACGAAAAUCUUUGAAGCUGCGUGUUAGCUGCUAUCAAAAUCGUUUCCCUUCCCUGUCCGAACAGUACGUAUAGGUACAUAUCAGGAGGAAGGAUCAAAACCGAG
Long non-coding RNA from Aedes albopictus (Asian tiger mosquito), 526 nucleotides. RefSeq lists it as uncharacterized. The record is from RefSeq and is a predicted model, not a curated record. The transcript is spliced from 4 exons. NCBI's taxonomy places the organism in Eukaryota, Metazoa, Arthropoda, Insecta, Diptera, Culicidae.